CCUUGCUGCUUUCUGUCCAUGAUUCUCUGACCCAAUCACCUGGCGUCCUGUGCCAUUAUCUCAUUAUGGGUACAAGGCUCAUUCUCCUAUUAGGAAAAUGGAAUGAAAUCUCAGAUCCCAACCGUGUCCUUAGGAAGCACACAAAUGAAAGGGAGGUGGAGAACCUACUUGCAAAGAGCCACAUCCACAGGCCAAUUUAAGCACAAAAAAAAAAAUCCAACGACACAGGACAAGGUAGUGUGCUAUGAAGUUGGCCUUUCGUUGCGUUAAGAGGCAAGAAAGAUGAGGUCGACACAACCAGCAAACAUACACAAAGGCACGUAAAAGUCAGAUCCCUGUCUUGUUUUACUAAAGUCCCAGGUGAACCAAAGAAUUAAAUAUUAAAACAUGAAACCAUAAAACUUAGGAAAAGAAGAAGAAAAUUUAAAAUUUGACUUUCUAGAAUAGAAUUUAAUUUUGUAAGGAAAAAACAGUAAAAGAAAAAUUAAAAUAUGAAGUGCCCGGGGGAAAAGAUGUCACUGCCAAUAUCAUGGUGGAAGUACUAAUUGUUUGUUUCAUGUCAUAAGUUCUACAAGAGAAUAAAGAAACCAAAGAUGCAUUACAGAUACUGGCAAUUUGAACACAAAGUUCCCAGUCACGAAAGUAAGUGUAGAAGGACCUUGAACACCCGGAAGCUGGCUUAUGCUUUCUGGUAAUAAGACAAAUGCAAAUCACCACUGCAGCGGACGCAAUAGUUCAUCUAUCAGACUGGCACACACCAAGCAGUUGGACUCCACAGGGUGUUUGCAAACUGUUGGGAAGAGGGUUCUUCCACGGCUGCAGGGGGUGCAGAUGGAAGCCACACCUGUGCAGGGCAAUUGGACUGCACCCAUCAAAACAUCCAGACAGAGCCCAAGUGCCUGGAUCCUUGACUGACUUCUAGGAAUCACUCUGCAUUGUGGCAGGAUUCCUUUGCCAGGGUGCCCAUGGCAUAUUGCUGGGGAUAUGAAGGUGCAGACGCAGUCAUUGAGCUCUUGUCUGGAAUGGCAAAAAGUUUGUGAUUCACUCUUUAAAGGACAUGACACGUAGUAGAUGCUCUAUGCACUCUUGUUAAAAUUGUUGGGCUUUUUUGGAUUGUAUUUCUGUAAUAUUUUCUUCUCCAGUGUGGGUUUUGUGUGUGUGUGUGUGUGGUGGGGGUGGUUAUGGUUGUUGAAAAGUGCACAGAAAUGUAUGUGUGAAGGUCCUUGGGACCUCCUGCCUGGCCUGUCACACACAGCCAGUGAGUGUUUGCUGUUUCACUCUGUGUCCUGCCUCAUUGCCUGGGAGUCACAUGUCGAGGACCUGAUGGAGCCUGUCCACUCAAGGAGUGAAGCGCUGACCUCCCAGGGUCCAGGGAGGCUUGUUUCCUAAUGGUGACUGGGAAUCCCAGAGGGUGCCUUGGAAUGGUCUGGAAAGCAGGGCAGCAGGAGCCUGACCGGGACAAGAGGUGACUGAGCUGAAGGCUGUGGACGCACCUCCUGCUUCUGCAAGUCCUUCCUGUCAGCCCGGCGUCCUUCUCAUGCCUCACUGUGUAAUCUGGAAGAUCACGGGUAAGUGCCCAGGGGAGAGGGUGGGUAUUUAAUAAAUAUCCCUAUGCUCAGCUUCAGGAAAGGAGUGAUUUUUUUCAAACCAUUGCAGGUGGGGGAAAUAAGGAAAGUCAAGAUGGCUGAAGGCUUUUUUUUUUUUUAUAGGAAAAAGUAUACUCUGGCAGGGAAGAGAAUUAAACUAUAAAAUCCAAAGUCUGUUUCUGAUGCUAUUAUAGUCAUCUAGAAUUUAUUUCUCCUAACUCCUAG
This 1811-nucleotide long non-coding RNA is filed under the name Marmota monax (woodchuck). Lineage: Eukaryota; Metazoa; Chordata; Mammalia; Rodentia; Sciuridae. The record is from RNAcentral.